This 73-nucleotide transfer RNA is filed under the name Vicugna pacos (alpaca). RNAcentral's name for it is "tRNA-Ala (AGC) (tRNA-Ala-AGC-45-1)". It matches the Rfam family "tRNA". Rfam says of the family: Transfer RNA (tRNA) molecules are approximately 80 nucleotides in length. Their secondary structure includes four short double-helical elements and three loops (D, anti-codon, and T loops). Lineage: Eukaryota; Metazoa; Chordata; Mammalia; Artiodactyla; Camelidae. The record is from RNAcentral.
GGAGGGUAUGGCUCAGUGGUAGAGCAUGUGCUUAGCAUGCACAAGGUCCUGGGUUCAAUCCCCAGUACCUCCA